Molecule: ribosomal RNA, 491 nt
Filed under: uncultured bacterium
Lineage: Bacteria
Description: partial 16S ribosomal RNA
Rfam family: Bacterial small subunit ribosomal RNA
Source: RNAcentral
AGUGAACGCUGGCGGUAGGCCUAACACAUGCAAGUCGAACGGCAGCACAGUAAGAGCUUGCUCUUACGGGUGGCGAGUGGCGGACGGGUGAGGAAUACAUCGGAAUCUACUUUUUCGUGGGGGAUAACGUAGGGAAACUUACGCUAAUACCGCAUACGACCUACGGGUGAAAGCAGGGGAUCUUUGGACCUUGCGCGAUUGAAUGAGCCGAUGUCGGAUUAGUUAGUUGGCGGGGUAAAGGCCCACCAAGGCGACGAUCCGUAGCUGGUCUGAGGGGAUGAUCAGCCACACUGGAGCUGAGACACGGUCCAGGCUCCUACGGGAGGCAGCAGUGGGGAAUAUUGGACAAUGGGCGCAAGCCUGAUCCAGCCAUGCCGCGUGGGUGAAGAAGGCCUUCGUGUUGUAAAGCCCUUUUGUUGGGAAAGAAAAGCAGCAGGUUAAUACACCGCUGUUCGAACGGUACCCAAAGAAUAGACACCGGCUAACUUCGU